RNAcentral lists this ribosomal RNA (485 nucleotides) under uncultured Prevotella sp. Its description in RNAcentral is "bacterial SSU rRNA". It matches the Rfam family "Bacterial small subunit ribosomal RNA", at positions 907 to 1392 of the family's 1533-position model. Lineage: Bacteria; Pseudomonadati; Bacteroidota; Bacteroidia; Bacteroidales; Prevotellaceae. The record is from RNAcentral.
GAAUUGACGGGGGCCCGCACAAGCGGAGGAACAUGUGGUUUAAUUCGAUGAUACGCGAGGAACCUUACCCGGGCUUGAAUUGCUGAGGAAAGCUCCAGAGAUGGAGAUGCCCUUCGGGGCCUCAGUGAAGGUGCUGCAUGGUUGUCGUCAGCUCGUGCCGUGAGGUGUCGGCUUAAGUGCCAUAACGAGCGCAACCCCUCUCUUCAGUUGCCAUCAGGUCAAGCUGGGCACUCUGGAGACACUGCCACCGUAAGAUGUGAGGAAGGUGGGGAUGACGUCAAAUCAGCACGGCCCUUACGUCCGGGGCUACACACGUGUUACAAUGGGUGGUACAGAAAGCCGGCUGCCCGCAAGGUCAGUCCAAUCAAGAAAGCCUCCCUCAGUUCGGACUGGGGUCUGCAACCCGACCCCACGAAGCUGGAUUCGCUAGUAAUCGCGCAUCAGCCAUGGCGCGGUGAAUACGUUCCCGGGCCUUGUACACACCG